AACGAACGCUGGCGGCAUGCCUAACACAUGCAAGUCGAACGAGAGCACCGGGUCUUGUGGCGCAUGGGUGCGUAAGGCGUGGGGAGCUGCACAUAGGUUCGGAAUAACUCCCCGAAAGGGGUGCUAAUACCGGAUAAUGUCUACGGCCCAAAGAUUUAUCGCGUUUGGAUGGGCCCGCGUGGGAUUAGCUAGUUGGUAGGGUAAAAGCCUCAUAAGGCGACGAUCCAUAGCUGGGCUGAGAGGCUGAGCAGCCACACUGGGACUGAGACACGGUCCAGACUCCUACGGGAGGGAGGAGUGCGGGAUAUAGGAAUGCCGCGGAAGGGCUGAUGCCGCUAUGCCGCGAGAGUGAUGAAGGCCUGAGGGAUGUAAAGCUCUUUUACCCGGGAUGAUAAUGACGGUACCGGGAGAAUAAGCUCCGGCUAACUCCGUG
Molecule: ribosomal RNA, 433 nt
Filed under: uncultured bacterium
Lineage: Bacteria
Description: partial 16S ribosomal RNA
Rfam family: Bacterial small subunit ribosomal RNA
Source: RNAcentral